AUCCAGCUGACGAGUCUCAAAUAGGACGAAACGCACAUCAAACUGGAU
Molecule: non-coding RNA, 48 nt
Organism: Schistosoma mansoni
Lineage: Eukaryota; Metazoa; Platyhelminthes; Trematoda; Strigeidida; Schistosomatidae
Source: Rfam